CUGGAUUCUCUACAUCCUUUAAUCACAAUGUCAUAUAUGUUAAUAGAAUAGCAGUGUGUCAUAUGAAUCUCAAUUUUUUGAACAAGAAAAUGAAUUUGGGGAUUUGAAUGAACAAAGUGAAGAUAUUGCUGAAAAUUAUGACAAGCACCAAGAGUUAACCACCAAAACACAGGACUCUAAAGAUAUCUUUACCAAGCAAUCUAUCUCUAUUAUUACAGAAGAACCCAAACAACCAUGUCAACAUAGUCAAAGUCAUUUGUCACCCACUGGCCACUAUACUGGGCUAUUGUUACAGUUUGACUUUGCAUCAAAUGUAUCACGUCAGCAAUCCUUUGUUGUUCAUGAUUAUAAUGCAAACAAAAGAACAAUUAUGGUGAUGUCAAAUUUUAUUUCCAUAAUUUCAAUGUUGGGUAUAUACCCAACUAAAUGACAUUACUCAAUACGCUUUUUUUGGUGCUAUAAUCUGCAUGUAUUUUUUUCUUCAGCAUAAUUAAUUUGUAUUUGUACGUCGAUAUCCCCACCUAUUGCUUGAUGGCUAUGGUUGGAUAUUGUGAUGCUCAUGUGAUGCAAAUAGAAAGCAAUUUGUUGAUGCCCUACCUAAUAAUAUACAAUUAGAUCCUCAAAAAGAUAUACCAUAUCCUAGUUGCAUACACAUAUUAGCAAUGGUAAAAAUAUCUGGUUGUGUAUGAUAGAAAGUUUGGUAUUGAAGCCAAAGAUUUUAUUGAAAAAAAAUCCACAUCCAUGAUGCAGUCUGUUUUCAGUGAUCAUUCCUACCAUGAGAUGCAACCUGAAGAAGACUUGUUUAGUGCAGUGUGCAGGGAGGUUCAGUGGAUUGCUGUAAAACCAGUGAAUAGUCCAUGGGGGAUUUGUACUUA
This is a long non-coding RNA of Xenia sp. Carnegie-2017, 875 nucleotides long. RefSeq lists it as uncharacterized. The transcript has 7 exons. The record is from RefSeq and is a predicted model, not a curated record. NCBI's taxonomy places the organism in Eukaryota, Metazoa, Cnidaria, Anthozoa, Malacalcyonacea, Xeniidae.